UACGGAAGGCAGCAGUGGGAAGUAUUGUCACAACUGGCGAAAGCCUGAUGCAGCUAGUGCCGCGUGUAUGAAGAAGGCCUUAGGGUUGUAAAGUACUUUCAUCGGGGAGGAAAAACAAAACUAAUAAUUUUAUUUCUUGACGUUACCCGAAAAAGAAGCACCGGCUAACUCCGUGCCAGCAGCCGCGGUAAUACGGAGGGUGCUAGCGUUAAUCAGAAUUACUGGGCGUAAAGAGCACGUAGGUGGUUUUUUUAAGUCAGAUGUGAAAUCCCUGGGCUUAACCUAGGAACUGCAUUUUGAAACUGAAAUACUAGAGUAUCGUAGAGGGAGGUAGAAUUCUAGGUGUAGCGGUGAAAUGCGUAGAUAUCUGGAGGAAUACCUGUGGCGAAAGCGGCCUCCUAAACGAAUACUGACACUGAGGUGCGAAAGCGUGGGGAGCAAACGAGGGAUUAGAUACC
Molecule: ribosomal RNA, 458 nt
Filed under: uncultured bacterium
Lineage: Bacteria
Description: bacterial SSU rRNA
Rfam family: Bacterial small subunit ribosomal RNA
Source: RNAcentral